This 322-nucleotide unclassified non-coding RNA is filed under the name Nocardia nova. RNAcentral's name for it is "16S-23S ribosomal RNA intergenic spacer region". Lineage: Bacteria; Bacillati; Actinomycetota; Actinomycetes; Mycobacteriales; Nocardiaceae. The record is from RNAcentral.
AAGGAGCACUUCUCCAGGCAUGCCAACACAGGUUGGAAGUUGUUCUGGCAGAGACCGUUUCGGCCUCACAUGUAGGCCGGCGGAAGCUCAUGGGUGGAACACUGACAUGCGCCUCGACGAUGCCCGGAGCCCGAGUGCUUCGGGUUCGGGGAUGUAAUCGACACACUGUUGGGUCCUGAAAGAACAGACGUUCUUUCCAGGCAAAAAAUACGACUUGCUCGGAUUUUCUGAGAAACUGCUGGCUUUGCCGGUAAGUCCUGAUGUCCUAUCCGGGUGGGUGUGUUGUUUGAGAACUGCACAGUGGACGCGAGCAUCUUUGUUA